This 1864-nucleotide long non-coding RNA is filed under the name Nicotiana tabacum (common tobacco). RNAcentral describes it as "long non-coding RNA (NTAB_LNC015351)". The record is from RNAcentral. Lineage: Eukaryota; Viridiplantae; Streptophyta; Magnoliopsida; Solanales; Solanaceae.
AUGCCUAUAAGAAUGAAAUGAUCAUUUGGACACUCAAAACAUAGGCCAACAAGGCCAUAUAAGUAUCCAUAUACAUGAUAUCUGUCUACAAUCCUCUAAGAGUACAUAAACAUCAUAAAGGUCGGGACAGGGCCCCGCCAUACCAAUCAAUACAUGUCCAAAGCAUACUAACCAAAUAGGCCUUUCCGGAGCAAGUGGAGUGCACCAACACCUUCCGCUGAGCUGAUAGCCUACUGGGAAGACUGUCAACCUAUCAAUCGGGACCUGUGGGCAUGAGACGCAGCGUCCCCAGGCAAAAGAGGCGUCAGUAUGAAUAAAGUACCGAAUAUGUAUGGCAGGAAAGCAUAAAUAUGAACAAUAAUGUAAAGAGAGGUGGAGAAGAUACAACCUGUAAUAUUUGAGUGCCUCUGAGUGAUACUAACAUGAAAUUCAUGAUGCNNNNNNNNNNNNNNNNNNNNNNNNNUGGAGAUCGGUAAAAUCCAACUGAUUAGUGGUUGCACAAUAGGUGCCGUACCCGGCCGACUAUAGCGCAGCUCGGUUGAGUAAAAUAGAUACUAUAUAUAAUGCAUGCUAGACUCAUGGAAUUACGUUCUAAAACUUUCUGAGUGACUUAAGGUCGUUGCACCUUCGAUUAACAUUAUGGACAUCCAUACCCUCAAUAUGAACCUUAGUAGGAUUCAAGGAUCAUACACACUUGCUUAGAAUAACUUUAUAAGGAAAGAACAACAGGGACAACCUUAGUUGCUAGGAGUAGAUCCGUUAUAAAAUAGUGUAUUCAUUUCACUUUAGAUCAUGCUAAAAGAAAUAAGGAAGUGCCUUAACAUACCUUAACCACGUUGAGUCCGUAAUACCUCCCAAGCAACUCUUCAAACAACUCAAUUCAAUCUACCAUUGCAUAAGGAGAUUCAAAAUCAGUAUUGAAUAAAGGCUAAGUCUGCAACGUAAACUUGUAGCUCAUUUAUAUAAAUUCGGGCAGCAUCUCCCCUGUAAAAAGAGCCUACUCCAAUACCAUAUACCAACAAUAAUUGCUAGAGAAAUCCAGCAAUACAUAAUUAUCAAUAAUAAGACACCAUAAAACAACAAGUCACAACUAUUUUAUGACGAGCGGCAAACUCCAAUUGGAAUUCGUAUAUCUCAUAUCACCCCUUAUAGACUUUUUACUUUAACUUAAUAGUAUCAUUAACAUGAUAAUGAAGUCAUUCAUCAAUAAUUCCAGUUUCAUACCAUAUAUCCAUAACAAAGAAAACGAUCCACAACUCCAAUUAUUCUCAAUUAGCAACUUUAUUCACUAGUUCAUGUCUAGUUCAUCCAUUUAACUCAACCAAUGUAAAGAUAAACUAAAGCACCUGUAGGAACACAAUAUAAUUACCUCCUACAGUAGAUGAAAGUCGAAAUCCAUGUUAUAUUUAGUUUACAAUAGCCCAACACACCCCAAUCGAUUCAUACCAAAAUGACGACUAUAGUAGUAUCAAACACCCCGAAAAUAUUACAAAGAAUGACUAAUCCAUCAUUUCGCCAUUAUGUGGUGUUUCUCCACACCAUUUAUCCUCCAAAAAUCCAAUUAACAGCAGCAAAAUAGACAGCCCAAAAGCUACACGAAACAUCCCACAAAACAGUCCAUUACAAGUCAAAUAACUCGAACUCACGGUUUCCGAUCACCGUUCCGUGAGUUCUAACUAUUGUGAAAUGAAUUAAUCAAUCUUCCUUGAUGUUUAAGAGAUUGAAACCAGAAAUUAUGCAUUUUUAUUAACUUCAAAAUACCUUCCAAAACUCAAACUACAAAGAAAAAGAGAGGCAAUAUAGCGAUACAUACGUUGUGGGGAUCGUUCUAGUGUUAUUGCUUCUUGAUUUCGUGUCUGGGAUG